Molecule: ribosomal RNA, 253 nt
Filed under: uncultured bacterium
Lineage: Bacteria
Description: partial 16S ribosomal RNA
Rfam family: Bacterial small subunit ribosomal RNA
Source: RNAcentral
UACGUAGGGUGCGAGCGUUAAUCGGAAUUACUGGGCGUAAAGCGUGCGCAGGCGGUGCUGUAAGACAGGCGUGAAAUCCCCGGGCUUAACCUGGGAAUGGCGCUUGUGACUGCAGUGCUGGAGUGCGGCAGAGGGGGAUGGAAUUCCGCGUGUAGCAGUGAAAUGCGUAGAUAUGCGGAGGAACACCGAUGGCGAAGGCAAUCCCCUGGGCCUGUACUGACGCUCAUGCACGAAAGCGUGGGGAGCAAACAGG